Molecule: ribosomal RNA, 253 nt
Filed under: uncultured bacterium
Lineage: Bacteria
Description: partial 16S ribosomal RNA
Rfam family: Bacterial small subunit ribosomal RNA
Source: RNAcentral
UACGAAGGGGGCUAGCGUUGCUCGGAAUAACUGGGCGUAAAGCGCACGUAGGCGGAUUGUUAAGUCGGGGGUGAAAUCCUGGAGCUCAACUCCAGAACUGCCUUCGAUACUGACGAUCUCGAGUCCGGGAGAGGUGAGUGGAACUCCGAGUGUAGAGGUGAAAUUCGUAGAUAUUCGGAAGAACACCAGUGGCGAAGGCGGCUCACUGGCCCGGUACUGACGCUGAGGUGCGAAAGCGUGGGGAGCAAACAGG